UGAACAACGCAGACAAAGGGUAAGUAGACAAUCGAACAUGGACUUCAGAGAGCCGGUGGCUGCUGCGAACCGGUGUCCAGCGCUUGAUCGAAUGGCCUUUAGAGUUGCUCUUCCGAACCAUCUUAGCUGAUGUUGUAGGGAAAGCCGGGUUUCCCGCCGUUAUCAAGGGACCUGUAUCGAGAUUGUCUCAGACCUUCUCCGUACCGGUAAGAGAAGAUCGUAAUACUAACGAAACCUGGUUGCGCGAUCAUUUAAGGUGGUACCACGACAACUUCGUCCUUAUU
Molecule: non-coding RNA, 284 nt
Filed under: Paenibacillus sp.
Lineage: Bacteria; Bacillati; Bacillota; Bacilli; Caryophanales; Paenibacillaceae
Description: T-box sequence
Rfam family: T-box leader
About the family: Uncharged tRNA acts as the effector for transcription antitermination of genes in the T-box leader family. T-boxes are found upstream of many aminoacyl-tRNA synthetase genes and some amino acid biosynthetic genes usually in Gram-positive bacteria.
Source: RNAcentral